CUAAACCUAUAUCGCGUCGUCCACCGUAUACCGUCGCGACGCCUCCACCACUUUCCUCCUCGUCGCCGUCCGUCCAACCAUCUCUCUCAGCUUCAUCUCCCUCUUCCCCUUCCUAGAUCGACGCCUCUUCCUCUCUCGAUCAAGAUUGACUCACGACGCAUCUCCUCCACCUUCUCUCUUUGGGGUUUCAGAGUAGUAGCUGCGGAGGGAGGCAAGAUGAAGACGACCAGUUUGCAGGAACCUCACCGCUGCCCUCUUUCCUCUCUCCCUCUCGAUCUUUGCCGCAAAGAUGCUCUUCUUCUCGUACUUCAAGGAGUUGGUAGGUAAAGAAGUGAUGGUGGACAGGUGGAGCUGAAGAACGAUCUUGCCAUCAGAGGAACCCUCCACUCCGUCGACCAAUACCUCAACAUCAAGCUUGAGAACAUUAAAGUCAUAGACGAAGACAAAUACCCUCACAUGGUACUCCAGCCUUCUCCUGCAUCUGUUUCUUCUUCGUGUAAAUUUCCUUCCUUUCCCCCUUUUCCACUCUUGAUUACCAUUUUUUUUGUUGAAAGCGUGGGUCAAUUUCAAGGCAUUGAUUAUUCGAACCCGAAAUUUCAUUUUCGGAUCUUAAAUGAUACUAUGAUACUGGCCAGUGUGGCACCCGGUUUCAGUCAACCUUUACUCUAUAAAUUCCCCUUUGAACAUAAACCCUAGCACUGCCGCUGUUGUUUUUUUUUUUCUCAGGAUCGCUCUCGCCUCCGCUUUACAGCUUCCUUCUCACUCUCGCCAAUCGCCAUGGAGGUUUGGGACGAUUAAUCUGGCGGUAAUCUGCACUCCUGCUGAUUAUCACACCUGCCCACUAGACACCAUCUUCAGUAAUUUCAUUGAUGCUCUCCCAGUUGUGAGUUUUGAGAUUCUAGAAAGAAAAACUAAAAAAAAAAUCUGAUGAUAUAUUUUUAUUUAUUGUUUUAAGUACUAGUAUUUUGCUCUGACAUUAAAUCGCCACAAAUAAUCAUGUUGGUUAUUUCUCAUCAUGUUUUGUUCUAAGGCUCAAAUUUCUGUUAAUUAAUAUUAUAACUUUAUCAGAUGAGUUUAAUAUCUUGUCGUACAUGGUUAUUCCUACUUAGUAUGCAUGUAGAUUUAUAUGUACAUAUCUAUAUAUGUGAUUUCUCUGUGGUUGAGUCAUCUCUCGACUUUGUCAUUUUGUUUCAUUUGACUUUAUAGUAGUGUAGACUGUGAUAAACAGUCAUCUUUUAAAUCCUAUGAUUGUGUUUAUUUUUCUAACCUUAACAUAUUUUAUAUGAUAAAACAAGAAAGAAAGGAAGAAGGUGUGUGAGGUUGACAUCUUGAAAAAGGAUCCUGAGGCUAUUCGAGAGCAAAUUGAGAAGCUGGAAAGAAUGAUUUACAAAUCUCAAGUACUCUAUAGUUGAAAUUGAUAAAGUGUGGUUCGAGUGGGCUAAAUACAUGCUAGAUUACAUUUGAUUAGCAAAAGUAUUCGAUUUUUGAAAGCUUUGGAGGAUACAUGUAUUUUUAUGGAAUGUAAUUUGUGGAUAUGGACUUGAUGUGUACAAUAUAUGUUACCUUUUGAUGUUGUAAAAAGAAUAGUUAAGUGUAAUUUGUGGAUACUGACUUAAUGUACACAAUAUUUAUUAU
Long non-coding RNA from Zingiber officinale, 1635 nucleotides. RefSeq lists it as uncharacterized. Lineage: Eukaryota; Viridiplantae; Streptophyta; Magnoliopsida; Zingiberales; Zingiberaceae. The transcript has 6 exons. The record is from RefSeq and is a predicted model, not a curated record.